CAGCAGCCGCGGGAAUACGGAGGGUGCAAGCGUUAAUCGGAAUUACUGGGCGUAAAGCGCACGCAGGCGGUUUGUUAAGUCAGAUGUGAAAUCCCCGAGCUUAACUUGGGAACUGCAUUUGAAACUGGCAAGCUAGAGUCUCGUAGAGGGGGGUAGAAUUCCAGGUGUAGCGGUGAAAUGCGUAGAGAUCUGGAGGAAUACCGGUGGCGAAGGCGGCCCCCUGGACAAAAACUGACGCUCAGGUGCGAAAGCGUGGGGAGCAAACAGGAUUAGAUACCCCAGUAGUCCCUGUCUCUUAUAC
RNAcentral lists this ribosomal RNA (301 nucleotides) under uncultured bacterium. Its description in RNAcentral is "partial 16S ribosomal RNA". It matches the Rfam family "Bacterial small subunit ribosomal RNA", at positions 509 to 807 of the family's 1533-position model. The record is from RNAcentral.